Salvia miltiorrhiza (redroot sage) is the source of this 526-nucleotide long non-coding RNA. RefSeq lists it as uncharacterized. The record is from RefSeq and is a predicted model, not a curated record. Lineage: Eukaryota; Viridiplantae; Streptophyta; Magnoliopsida; Lamiales; Lamiaceae. The transcript is spliced from 2 exons.
ACUAAUCUCUCUCCUCUUCUUGUCCUGAAACGCAGACACGCUCAAUUUCUCCCUCUCUUCGCUCUCUCUCUCUCUUAGUCGUCUCUCAUCGCCGGUUCUCGCCGCCUCCGGUGCGGCGAGGCCGGCUCUAUCUCUUCUCUCUCCUUCUUUUCUCUUCCCACUUCCCUAUGUCUAAAUCCCCAAAUUAUAGAAUCUAAUUCCUAGGGUUUCUACCGCCCUUCUUCCCCUCUGGAAUUCAUCUCUCCGACGAAGCCUGCCGCCACCGCCGUCGUCCCCGUCGCACCGCGGCCUCCUCUGACUCAGGAAUCGGUGAUUCGAGAAGGUUUGAAAUGGUUUCAUCGUGGCAACCCAAGACUCCAUUUUUUUUAAAGACUCAGCCUUCUAUUAUUGAAUUUUCUGAUUUAUAAACUCUGUGAAUAGAUGUAUACUGUAGAUGUUAAAGAAAAUUGAUGUUAUCUUGAUUACUAUGUAUGAGUGGAUUAUUGAGUAGUAGGAAGAAUAGUACCUGCAUUGCGUGGUGUGAUAA